RNAcentral lists this ribosomal RNA (435 nucleotides) under Streptococcus anginosus. RNAcentral describes it as "bacterial SSU rRNA". It matches the Rfam family "Bacterial small subunit ribosomal RNA", at positions 43 to 460 of the family's 1533-position model. Lineage: Bacteria; Bacillati; Bacillota; Bacilli; Lactobacillales; Streptococcaceae. The record is from RNAcentral.
CGGGGUCUUAACAUGCAAGUAGGACGCACAGUUUAUACUGUAGCUUGCUACACCAUAGACUGUGAGUUGCGAACGGGUGAGUAACGCGUAGGUAACCUACCUAUUAGAGGGGGAUAACUAUUGGAAACGAUGGCUAAUACCGCAUAACAGUAUGUAACACAUGUUAGAUGCUUGAAAGAUGCAAUUGCAUCGCUAGUAGAUGGACCUGCGUUGUAUUAGCUAGUAGGUAGGGUAAAGGCCUACCUAGGCAACGAUACAUAGCCGACCUGAGAGGGUGAUCGGCCACACUGGGACUGAGACACGGCCCAGACUCCUACGGGAGGCAGCAGUAGGGAAUCUUCGGCAAUGGGGGGAACCCUGACCGAGCAACGCCGCGUGAGUGAAGAAGGUUUUCGGAUCGUAAAGCUCUGUUGUUAAGGAAGAACGAGUGUGAGA